This 640-nucleotide ribosomal RNA is filed under the name uncultured bacterium. RNAcentral describes it as "bacterial SSU rRNA". It matches the Rfam family "Bacterial small subunit ribosomal RNA", at positions 202 to 842 of the family's 1533-position model. The record is from RNAcentral.
GAAAGAUUCAUCGGAAGAGGAUGGGCAUGCGGCGCAUUAGCUAGACGGCGGGGUAACGGCCCACCGUGGCGACGAUGCGUAGGGGUUCUGAGAGGAAGGUCCCCCACACUGGUACUGAGACACGGACCAGACUCCUACGGGAGGCAGCAGUGAGGAAUAUUGGUCAAUGGGAGAGAUCCUGAACCAGCCAAGCCGCGUGAGGGAAGACGGCCCUAUGGGUUGUAAACCUCUUUUGUCGGAGAACAAAACCCGGGACGUGUCCCGGACUGCGUGUAUCCGAAGAAAAAGCAUCGGCUAACUCCGUGCCAGCAGCCGCGGUAAUACGGAGGAUGCGAGCGUUAUCCGGAUUUAUUGGGUUUAAAGGGUGCGUAGGCGGUCCGUUAAGUCAGCGGUAAAAUUGCGGGGCUCAACCCCGUCGAGCCGUUGAAACUGGCAGACUUGAGUUGGCGAGAAGUGCGCGGAAUGCGCGGUGUAGCGGUGAAAUGCAUAGAUAUCGCGCAGAACUCCGAUUGCGAAGGCAGCGUACCGGCGCCAGACUGACGCUGAGGCACGAAAGCGUGGGGAUCGAACAGGAUUAGAUACCCUGGUAGUCCACGCAGUAAACGAUGAAUGCUGGUUGUCCGGGUCGAAUGAGAUCUGG